UACGGAGGAUGCAAGCGUUAUCCGGAUUUAUUGGGUUUAAAGGGUGCGCAGGCGGACUAAUAAGUCAGUGGUGAAAUUUACAUGCUCAACAUGUAGCGUGCCAUUGAUACUGUUGGACUAGUAUACAAAUGACGUAGCUGGAAUGUGUUAUGUAGCGGUGAAAUGCAUAGAUAUAACACAGAACACCGAUCGUGAAGACAGGUUACGAAUUUGUUAUAGACGCUCAUGCACGAAAGCGUGGGGAUCAAACA
Molecule: ribosomal RNA, 251 nt
Filed under: uncultured prokaryote
Description: partial 16S ribosomal RNA
Rfam family: Bacterial small subunit ribosomal RNA
Source: RNAcentral